This 494-nucleotide ribosomal RNA is filed under the name uncultured bacterium. RNAcentral describes it as "partial 16S ribosomal RNA". It matches the Rfam family "Bacterial small subunit ribosomal RNA", at positions 28 to 507 of the family's 1533-position model. The record is from RNAcentral.
GACGAACGCUGGCGGCGUGCUUAACACAUGCCAGUCGAACGGUGAAGCGCCUUCCUUUUUGGUGGGUGUGGAUGAGUGGCGAACGGGUGAGUAACACGUGAGUAACCUGCCCCCUUCUUCUGGAUAACCGCAUAAAAGUGUGGCUAAUACGGGAUAUUCUGGGUCUGUCGCAUGAUGGGUCUGGGAAAGAUAUUGUUUCGGUGGGGGAUGGGCUCGCGGCCUAUCAGCUUGUUGGUGGGGUGAUGGCCUACCAAGGCGGUGACGGGUAGCCGGCCUGAGAGGGUGGACGGCCACACUGGGACUGAGACACGGCCCAGACUCGUACGGGAGGCAGCAGUGGGGAAUAUUGCACAAUGGGCGCAAGCCUGAUGCAGCGACGCCGCGUGAGGGAUGGAGGCCUUCGGGUUGUGAACCUCUUUCGCCAGUGAAGCAGGCCUGCCUCGUUUGUGGGUGGGUUGACGGUAGCUGGAUAAGAAGCGCCGGCUAACUACGUG